Beta vulgaris subsp. vulgaris (sugar beet) is the source of this 107-nucleotide non-coding RNA. Lineage: Eukaryota; Viridiplantae; Streptophyta; Magnoliopsida; Caryophyllales; Amaranthaceae. The record is from Rfam.
AUAUUGUGGUGUGGGCAUUGUCACUGCAAGGCUUUGUUUCUCUACCACGCCUCAUACAGAGACUCCAAUUCAUGUUCUUGAAAACCAGAUAUCUCAUUUCUCAAUUC